ACCCGGGUGGCUCAGUGGUUGAGCAUCUGACUUUGGCUCAGGUCAUGAUCCCAGGGUC
This 58-nucleotide transfer RNA is filed under the name Canis lupus familiaris (dog). The record is from Rfam by way of RNAcentral. RNAcentral also lists the same sequence under 2 other names. Lineage: Eukaryota; Metazoa; Chordata; Mammalia; Carnivora; Canidae.